Carassius gibelio (silver crucian carp) is the source of this 395-nucleotide long non-coding RNA. RefSeq lists it as uncharacterized. The record is from RefSeq and is a predicted model, not a curated record. The transcript is spliced from 3 exons. Lineage: Eukaryota; Metazoa; Chordata; Actinopteri; Cypriniformes; Cyprinidae.
CGAUCAGUGUCCACUGCAGCCCCUUCAUUUCGGUUGCCUGGGAUUUGACUGUCAAUAUGGAGCAGAUGCUUCACCUCUUUAAAUGAUGAAGGGUGACCGCAGUCAGCCAAUCACAACAGACCUGAACAGGACAGCGGAGAGCAGGACAACUAGAGCCCCAGAUACAGAUCCCCUGUAAAGACCUUGUCUCAGAGGACCACCAGGACAAGACCACAGGAAACAGAUGAUUCUUCUGCACAAUCUGACUUUGCUGCAGCCUGGAAUUGAACUACUGGUUUUCGUCUGGUCAGAGGAGAACUGGCCCCCCAACUGAGCCUGGUUUCUCCCAAGGUUUUUUUCUCCAUUCUGUCACCGAUGGAGUUUCGGUUCCUUGCCGGUGUCGCCUCUGGCUUACU